Molecule: transfer RNA, 75 nt
Filed under: Cordylochernes scorpioides
Lineage: Eukaryota; Metazoa; Arthropoda; Arachnida; Pseudoscorpiones; Chernetidae
Description: tRNA-Thr
Source: RNAcentral
UGUCAUGGGAUGGGAAUCGAACCCACAGUGCUCCGCUUACCGGGCAGAUUUCAUGUCCACUAGGCUACCCUGGAC